Glycine max (soybean) is the source of this 74-nucleotide non-coding RNA. The record is from Rfam. NCBI's taxonomy places the organism in Eukaryota, Viridiplantae, Streptophyta, Magnoliopsida, Fabales, Fabaceae.
GACCUAUUAGCUUAGUUGGUUAGAGCGUCAUACUAAUAAUGCGAAAGUCACAGGUUUCAUUCCUGCUUGGGCCA